RNAcentral lists this ribosomal RNA (497 nucleotides) under uncultured bacterium. RNAcentral's name for it is "partial 16S ribosomal RNA". It matches the Rfam family "Bacterial small subunit ribosomal RNA", at positions 28 to 507 of the family's 1533-position model. The record is from RNAcentral.
GAUGAACGCUGGCGGCGUGCCUAAUACAUGCAAGUCGAGCGAACAGACGAGGAGCUUGCUCCUCUGACGUUAGCGGCGGGCGGGUGAGAAACACGUGGAUAACCUACCUAUAAGACUGGGAUCACUUCGGGAAACCGGCGAUAAUACCGGAGAAUAUAUUGAACCGCAUGGUUCAUUAGUGAAAGACGGCUUUGGUGUAUCUACUAGAGGGUUACGCGCCGCAUUGGCUAGUUGGUAAGGUAACGGCUUACCAAGGCAACGAUGCGUGGCCGACGGGAGAGAGUGGUCGGCCACACUGGAACUGAGGCACGGUCCAGACUCCUACGGGAGGCAGCAGUAGGGAAUGGGCCGCAAUGGGCGGAAGCCUGACGGAGCAGCGGCGCGUGAGUGAUGAAGGUCUUCGGAUCGUAAAGCUCUGUUAUGAGGUAAGAACAAAUGUGUAAGGAACUAUGCACGGCUUGACGGUACCGAAUCAGAAAGCCACGGCUAACUACGUG